Molecule: ribosomal RNA, 503 nt
Filed under: uncultured bacterium
Lineage: Bacteria
Description: bacterial SSU rRNA
Rfam family: Bacterial small subunit ribosomal RNA
Source: RNAcentral
GACGAACGCUGGCGGCGUGGAUUAGGCAUGCAAGUCGAACGGUAUCAUCCUUUCGGGGGUGAGAGAGUGGCGAACUGGUGAGUAACACGUAGGUUAUCUACCCUCAAGACGGGGACAACCCAGGGAAACUUGGGCUAAUACCGGAUGUGAGCAACUUUUAGUUGUUUGAAAGGUGGCGUAAGCUGUCGCUUGGGGAUGAGCCUGCGUCCUAUUAGUUAGUUGGUGAGGUAACGGCUCACCUAGGCAAUGAUAGGUAGGCGGCCUUAACGGGUGGUCGCCCACACUGGGAUUGAGAUACGGCCCAGACUCCUACGGGAGGCAGCAGUCGAGAAUAGUCUACAAUGGUCGGAAGACUGAUAGUGCGACGCCGCGUGAACGAUGAAUCCCUUCGGGGUGUAAAGUUCUUUUAUAUGUGAGCAGUGCUUCUUAUAUUAACAGUAUGGGGAAGAGAUAUUAGCAUAUAGAAUAAGCAACGGCUAACUCCGUGCCAGCAGCCGCGGUAA